GAAGAGCCCCAGGGCUCGUACGUAGACCCUCCGCCUGAAAGAGUACCCUAAUUAUCUGUGCAACCGGUAGAAUCGUGCGUUCUAGUAUGCUCACCGGGCUGUGACCACAGGCCUACUGAUAAUUGUCCACCGUUAGCCACCGAGGCUUAAGGCUUAUGAAUCAUGGGUUACCUUUGAUUGUAUCUUUCUUUUCCUUUGUUCAGACUAGUUUCAGGGUAGUUGGGGAGGUGGAUUUGAGCAUGUACACUUAGGGCAUAUACGGUUUUCACAAAAACUGGUCGGGGACCCUGGCUAAGAGGAGACUGUCCCUAAGAGGCCCCGCCGGGGUAAUAAACCGCACUCCGCCAUCUGCAGUCCUGGGUGAGUUUGCUUCCCGGAGCACGUGGCUACAGCAGUGUCCAGCCUCUGGCUUUCUUACCCAUCCAAGCUGAACCCCUAGGAGACAGACACAAGUUGGUCCCAUAGUUCCUCAAGAGUCUGGAAGUAUGAGGCGUCCCUGCACACACACUUCAUUCACCCGACACGGAAGCAUACUUCCAGUAAGAGCAUUUCCAGGUCAACAGUAUUUGUGUCACGGUGUUAAGAACAUAAACUUAGGUGUGUGACUAGGCUGGAGUCCAGUGUAACGAGUGACCUGUUAGUAAUGAUUUGCUUCUAUCUAAAUCAGACUGAAUUUGUUUGCACUUUAAAUGUGGUUUCUGAGAGGGGAUGAAGGUGUCACAGACGCUCAGGAAGCUAAGUACGCACAAGCCCAGGGACUGUCUGCAGCAUGCCGCCAGCCAUCCCAGCACAACGCCGUGGAGUCCAGCUCAUCCCGUGGCCAGUGGCCGCGGUGGGAUGACAGGAACCUGCCUGUAGACAAGUGUACCGUGCGGUCCUCGGGAGAGACCGCGGCACCAGACGCAGCCUUUCCUGGUCUCGCUGCCGCAGCACCAGCAGCCACCGUGCAUUGCCUGUUCGCUCUCUUCUUCGCCUCCAGGUCACCUCAGCUGAUCUGUCCGUAA
RNAcentral lists this long non-coding RNA (1004 nucleotides) under Capra hircus (goat). Its description in RNAcentral is "lncRNA (ENSCHIG00010027603.1)". The record is from RNAcentral. Lineage: Eukaryota; Metazoa; Chordata; Mammalia; Artiodactyla; Bovidae.